Molecule: ribosomal RNA, 269 nt
Filed under: Alexandrium tamarense
Lineage: Eukaryota; Dinophyceae; Gonyaulacales; Pyrocystaceae
Description: partial Bacterial large subunit ribosomal RNA
Rfam family: Bacterial large subunit ribosomal RNA
Source: RNAcentral
GGAGGUCCGAACCGACUAAUGUUGAAAAAUUAGCGGAUGACUUGUGGCUGGGGGUGAAAGGCCAAUCAAACCGGGAGAUAGCUGGUUCUCCCCGAAAUCUAUUUAGGUAGAGCCUCGGACGAAUACCAUUGGGGGUAGAGCACUGUUUCGGCUAGGGGGUCAUCCCGACUUACCAAACCGAUGCAAACUCCGAAUACCAAUGAGUAUGAGCAUGGGAGACAGACUGCGGGUGCUAACGUCCGUAGUCGAGAGGGAAACAACCCAGACCG